This 72-nucleotide transfer RNA is filed under the name bacterium. RNAcentral's name for it is "tRNA-Thr". It matches the Rfam family "tRNA". Rfam says of the family: Transfer RNA (tRNA) molecules are approximately 80 nucleotides in length. The record is from RNAcentral.
GCCGCCUUAGCUCAGUGGUAGAGCAACACUUUUGUAAAGUGAAGGUCCCGAGUCCGAAUCUCGGAGGCGGCU